GGGCUCAUAGGUAAGUGGUAUACCGGGUCGUUCGCAUCGACCAAUCGCCGGUUCGAUUCCGGCUGAGUCCACAA
This 74-nucleotide transfer RNA is filed under the name Candidatus Amesbacteria bacterium RIFOXYB1_FULL_47_9. RNAcentral's name for it is "tRNA-Ala". It matches the Rfam family "tRNA". From Rfam's summary of the family: Transfer RNA (tRNA) molecules are approximately 80 nucleotides in length. Lineage: Bacteria; Candidatus Amesiibacteriota. The record is from RNAcentral.